This 254-nucleotide ribosomal RNA is filed under the name uncultured bacterium. RNAcentral describes it as "partial 16S ribosomal RNA". It matches the Rfam family "Bacterial small subunit ribosomal RNA", at positions 524 to 776 of the family's 1533-position model. The record is from RNAcentral.
UACGAAGGGGGCUAGCGUUGCUCGGAAUUAUUGGGCGUAAAGGGCUCGUAGGCGGUUUGUCGCGUCGGGAGUGAAAACUCAGGGCUUAACCCUGAGCCUGCUUCCGAUACGGGCAGACUAGAGGUAUGCAGGGGAGAACGGAAUUCCUGGUGUAGCGGUGAAAUGCGCAGAUAUCAGGAGGAACACCGGUGGCGAAGGCGGUUCUCGUGGGACGGUACUGACGCUGAGACGCGAAAGCGUGGGGAGCGAACAGG